UUUUAUCCUUCCCCUCUUCACUCUCUCAAAAGCCCUAGCCCCAGAGGAUCGAAGAAGAAGGGAGCACCACACCACCACCACGAACAACACCACCACCGAACCGCCGCCUCCAUAGCACCACCACAGAACCACCGUCACAACAUCACCACCGAACUGCCGCCUCCACAGCACCACUACAGAACCACCGUCAAUUUCUCUCCUACUUCUCUGUAACCGUCUCUAUUGAUGUUGCCGGCCAUCGAGCCAUCGAUUCGGGGAUGAUGAAGAUGGUUGAAGGUGGUCAUGUUUUUGAAGAUCUGG
Molecule: long non-coding RNA, 300 nt
Filed under: Helianthus annuus (common sunflower)
Lineage: Eukaryota; Viridiplantae; Streptophyta; Magnoliopsida; Asterales; Asteraceae
Description: sRNA HanXRQr2_Chr14g0660011
Source: RNAcentral